CUGAUGGCAAUUGCUCCCUCUGCAGGAAGACUUAAACUUUUCUCUUUGUUAAAAACUACCAUCUUCAGACCUUCCUAGCUAAGGACUCCAGGGUUCAUUUCUUGUUGGGAUAGAGAAAAGAAUAGAUUCACUGUCUUCCAUAGUGAACUCUCUGUAGAGCAAAAGUCACGUUUGUAGAGCUGCAUGGCUCCCCAUGAGCUUAGACCUCUCUGACUAUUGAGUUUCCCCAGAAAAUAUACUGGUGGCCUUUGCAGACUAGGAAGGAUGCCAUUUGCCUAGUUGGACCGGGGUGCCCUCAACAACCAUUGUGACAUCAAAGGGCAAGCACUGUAGCCUGGAGUGUCCCAGUUCUUACCGUGAGAUGUGAGCCCUCCUCAGCAUAAAUGGGUGCCAGUUCCUAAGAAAUGUGGCUGUUUUAAUUAGCUGCCCUCCUCCCCUUCUUCCUUCUAAUCUCUCCCAGGCGCCAGAAAUGGGGCCUGUGUUCCCAAGGCACCAGGAAGGGUGGAAGCACAGAGCUGGAACUUGAGACACUGGACGUUCCUGGCUCCAGGAGCUAACUCCUGAUGUACGUCUGGGUUACGGUGGAAUUCGUCUUGCAAUAAUCCUGAGGCUCUACACUUUAUUAAUCAUUCUGUAGGGAAAGCUGCUCUCCGGUUCUGUUUGAUUUGAUUUCAUUCAUCCUGUCUUUUUGCAAAAUAGAUGGUUGA
Molecule: long non-coding RNA, 707 nt
Organism: Canis lupus familiaris (dog)
Lineage: Eukaryota; Metazoa; Chordata; Mammalia; Carnivora; Canidae
Exons: 3
Source: RefSeq, a predicted model, not a curated record